UAGAUUUAUUAUUACUAAAAAUGUAAAAUUUCUCGAAAACGCAAACAUCUGCGGCUUGAGUAAUUUUAUUUCUCCAAAUAAUUUCUUCUUUAAACUGACGGCGAUUUUCCGACUUGUGCGAGAGAUGAGUAUCCUUUCUUCCGUUGAAAAAUCAAUUCCAAUUUGCCGGUAAAAACAAAAAUCGAUUCCAGUUUCCCCCCAUUUCAAUCAACAGAAUUAGGGCAAACCAUAUAGAAAUUAUUCUUGUGCAACCAUAUAAAAAUUUCAGCUAGUCGGGACAACAACAAUUCUGAAGAAACUAAUCUUAAUCUCUGUUCUUCGUUUCACACUCGAGAUUGGAGGUUGUAGGUCUUUGUUUGGCUACAUUUUCAAUUAAUAUACGUUAUGUGUAGGAAGUUUCUGGAAUUUACCUGAGAGGGCAGCGAAAGCUCAAAUACUUGAAUGGUUGGAGAGACAGAUUCGACAAAUCGGCCUUUCUGACUUGAUGGAGAAAUUUCAUUUUCCUCAGGGUGCUGAUUCUGCAAUUUGUCAGAUGCUCCCUGAGGGUACCCACUCCCUUCUGGUACAACCAGUGUCAGGAGAUCCUAACUCCACUGCUAAUGAGACAACAAAGAAAAUUGUGGGAUUCAUCUUGUUGGCUUCCUGCAUGAGUUAUGCAUACAAUGAUACAGACAGAGCCUGGACAAGUGCAGUUGCUGACAAAUUUAAAGAUCGAGUUCCUCAACAGCUUUGGAAUUUAGUUUAACUUACUGCUGCAUUUGGCCUUGAUUCCACAAUCUCUACGUUGUUAUAGUGGAAAGAUGCUUGAAUUGCUGCUUGCUGGAGAAGUAUUGAUCCAAUUGACAGUGUUGGUGCAAUCAGACAACCCUAACAUCAUUGCGAUUUUUAAGAAGAAGAUAUUGAAGACCUAAUUUUGAACCUGUGAAAUUUUCUCUUGUAACUUGUGGUUUGGAAUUGGAAACUCAAAGCUGCCAUGUUCGUUCAAAGCUCUAACUACUACAGUUAGUGCUCUUUCUCUGUUGGUUUGCACCCUAUUUCAGUGGAUAAAACAUUUCUUUGUUUCAAGAUAAGGGUAGGUUUCUGUUUGGAGGGAAACAAAUCUUAUAGACCAGUAUAACCAUAUAUGAGCUGAAGGAAUAUAUUAGAUUCUCAAGUUUUUGUUUGUACUCUCUUUGGAAAUAUUACAGUGUAACUAGGUAAAUUUUUGGUAAAUCAUUGAGAAAACUCAGGACUGUAAAUGUUUCUUACAUCCUGUACUCUGUUGUAUCUGUAAAGUUGUGUACGUACAUUUAAUUCUUGGAAUUAAACAAUGAUGAAGAUUGAAGA
This is an RNA transcript of Papaver somniferum (opium poppy), 1326 nucleotides long. It is a transcript of the gene named protein COFACTOR ASSEMBLY OF COMPLEX C SUBUNIT B CCB2, chloroplastic-like, with no coding region annotated. The record is from RefSeq and is a predicted model, not a curated record. NCBI's taxonomy places the organism in Eukaryota, Viridiplantae, Streptophyta, Magnoliopsida, Ranunculales, Papaveraceae. The transcript has 5 exons.